This 143-nucleotide ribosomal RNA is filed under the name Frankia sp. AgI5. RNAcentral's name for it is "partial 23S ribosomal RNA". The record is from RNAcentral. Lineage: Bacteria; Bacillati; Actinomycetota; Actinomycetes; Frankiales; Frankiaceae.
GGCCGACAGGCGUAGUCGAUGGAUAACGGGUUGAUAUUCCCGUACCGGCGCUGGUGCGCCAAUGCUGAAUCUUCCUGUACUAACCUUCUCCUGGGGUCCUUUCGAGGGCUGAUCGGGUUGGGAUCUUCCGGGGUAGUAGGCAA